GGGGGCGUCGGGGCACCCUCAGAUGCGCACAGCGAGCAGCGACCCCACGGGACGUGGCAGAAAGCGGCUCUCCCCGACCCCCCGCCUGACGUGAGUUGGGCACCAGGAGACAUGCUGAUGCCAGGCAUAGCCUCUGCCCACAGAUAGAUGGUGUGAGCGGGAGGGUAGGAAUGCUAUUCAAGGAAAAGUUCAACCUGAAAGUUGACAUUUGAGGAGCUGGACAGGAAGGACCAUCACGCAGUCUCAGCCACCAGGCACCUCGUUAUCACAACCUCAUUCUUUCCUUGGGGAAACAAGCUGCCUUAAAAGGGGGCCAACUGCAGCCAAACUUGGGAAGUAGAGGAGGAGACCAGAAGCUGGCAGAGC
Molecule: long non-coding RNA, 366 nt
Organism: Grus americana (Whooping crane)
Lineage: Eukaryota; Metazoa; Chordata; Aves; Gruiformes; Gruidae
Exons: 3
Source: RefSeq, a predicted model, not a curated record